UACGUAGGGGGCAAGCGUUGUCCGGAAUCAUUGGGCGUAAAGCGCGUGUAGGCGGUUCGGUAAGUCUGAUGUGAAAGCCCACGGCUCAACCGUGGAAGGUCAUUGGAAACUGAAAGGCUUGAGUACAGAAGAGGAAAGCGGAAUUCCACGUGUAGCGGUGAAAUGCGUAGAGAUGUGGAGGAACACCAGUGGCGAAGGCGGCUUCUGGUCUGUAACUGACGCUGAGGCGCGAAAGCGUGGGGAGCAAACAGG
RNAcentral lists this ribosomal RNA (252 nucleotides) under uncultured bacterium. RNAcentral describes it as "partial 16S ribosomal RNA". It matches the Rfam family "Bacterial small subunit ribosomal RNA", at positions 524 to 776 of the family's 1533-position model. The record is from RNAcentral.